GACGAACGCUGGCGGCGUGCCUAAUACAUGCAAGUCGAGCGGACAGACGGGAGCUUGCUCCCUGAUGUUAGCGGCGGACGGGUGAGUAACACGUGGGUAACCUGCCUGUAAGACUGGGAUAACUCCGGGAAACCGGGGCUAAUACCGGAUGGUUGUCUGAACCGCAUGGUUCAGACAUAAAAGGUGGCUUCGGCUACCACUUACAGAUGGACCCGCGGCGCAUUAGCUAGUUGGUGAGGUAACGGCUCACCAAGGCAACGAUGCGUAGCCGACCUGAGAGGGUGAUCGGCCACACUGGGACUGAGACACGGCCCAGACUCCUACGGGAGGCAGCAGUAGGGAAUCUUCCGCAAUGGACGAAAGUCUGACGGAGCAACGCCGCGUGAGUGAUGAAGGUUUUCGGAUCGUAAAGCUCUGUUGUUAGGGAAGAACAAGUGCCGUUCAAAUAGGGCGGCACCUUGACGGUACCUAACCAGAAAGCCACGGCUAACUACGU
This 496-nucleotide ribosomal RNA is filed under the name uncultured bacterium. RNAcentral's name for it is "partial 16S ribosomal RNA". It matches the Rfam family "Bacterial small subunit ribosomal RNA", at positions 28 to 506 of the family's 1533-position model. The record is from RNAcentral.